GAUGAACGCUAGCGGGAGGCUUAAUACAUGCAAGUCGAGGGGUAACAUGAGAGCUUGCUCUUGAUGACGACCGGCGCACGGGUGAGUAACGCGUACACUACCUACCUUAUACUGGGGCACAUACACUGGAAACGGAGUAAAUUCCCCAUAGUAUUAUGUUGUAAGAUGUAAUUAAAGUUUCGGCGGUAUAAGAUGGGUGUGCGUACUAUUAGCUAGUUGGUAAGGUAACGGCUUACCAAGGCGACGAUAGUUAGGGGGCGUGAGAGCGUGGCCCCCCACACGGGUACUGAGACACGGACCCGACUCCUACGGGAGGCAGCAGUAAGGAAUAUUGGACAAUGGGCGAAAGCCUGAUCCAGCCAUCCCGCGUGAAGGAUGACGGCCCUCUGGGUUGUAAACUUCUUUUGAAUGGGACGAACCGCCUUCAUUUAUGAGGGUUUGACGGUACCAUUAGAAUAAGCACCGGCUAACUCCG
RNAcentral lists this ribosomal RNA (475 nucleotides) under uncultured Saprospiraceae bacterium. RNAcentral's name for it is "bacterial SSU rRNA". It matches the Rfam family "Bacterial small subunit ribosomal RNA", at positions 28 to 505 of the family's 1533-position model. The record is from RNAcentral. Lineage: Bacteria; Pseudomonadati; Bacteroidota; Saprospiria; Saprospirales; Saprospiraceae.